AGCGAACCGGGGGAACUGAAACAUCUAAGUACCCCGAGGAAAAGAAAUCAACCGAGAUUCCCCCAGUAGCGGCGAGCGAACGGGGAGCAGCCCAGAGUCUGAAUCAGCUUGUGUGUUAGUGGAACGGUCUGGAAAGUCCGACGGUACAGGGUGAUAGUCCCGUACACCAAAAUGCACAGGUUGUGAACUCGAAGAGUAGGGCGGGACACGUGGUAUCCUGUCUGAAUAUGGGGGGACCAUCCUCCAAGGCUAAAUACUCCUGACUGACCGAUAGUGAACCAGUACCGUGAGGGAAAGGCGAAAAGAACCCCGGCGAGGGGAGUGAAAAAGAACCUGAAACCGUGUACGUACAAGCAGUGGGAGCCUCUUUAUGGGGUGACUGCGUACCUUUUGUAUAAUGGGUCAGCGACUUAUAUUCUGUAGCAAGGUUAACCGUAUAGGGGAGCCGAAGGGAAACCGAGUCUUAACUGGGCGUUAAGUUGCAGGGUAUAGACCCGAAACCCGGUGAUCUAGCCAUGGGCAGGUUGAAGGUUGGGUAACACUAACUGGAGGACCGAACCGACUAAUGUUGAAAAAUUAGCGGAUGACUUGUGGCUGGGGGUGAAAGGCCAAUCAAACCGGGAGAUAGCUGGUUCUCCCCGAAAGCU
RNAcentral lists this ribosomal RNA (647 nucleotides) under Citrobacter freundii. Its description in RNAcentral is "partial 23S ribosomal RNA". It matches the Rfam family "Bacterial large subunit ribosomal RNA", at positions 178 to 867 of the family's 2925-position model. Lineage: Bacteria; Pseudomonadati; Pseudomonadota; Gammaproteobacteria; Enterobacterales; Enterobacteriaceae. The record is from RNAcentral.